Molecule: ribosomal RNA, 468 nt
Filed under: uncultured anaerobic ammonium-oxidizing bacterium
Lineage: Bacteria
Description: bacterial SSU rRNA
Rfam family: Bacterial small subunit ribosomal RNA
Source: RNAcentral
UUCGCAAUGCCCGAAAGGGUGACGAAGCGACGCCGCGUGAGCGAAGAAGGCCUUAGGGUUGUAAAGCUCUGUCGAGGGUUAUGAAGUAUGGAUGGGUUAAUACCUCAUUUAUUUGACAAAGGCCCAAAAGGAAGUCACGGCUAACUCUGUGCCAGCAGCCGCGGUAAUACAGAGGUGGCAAGCGUUGUUCGGUAUUAUUGGGCGUAAAGAGCACGUAGGUGGUUUUGUAAGUCAGGUGUGAAAGCCUUCUGUUCAAAGGAAGAACGGCAUCUGAAACUGCAGAUCUUGAGUGUAGGAGGGGAGAGUGGAACUUCUGGUGGAGCGGUGAAAUGCGUAGAUAUCAGAAGGAACGUCGGCGGCGAAAGCGACUCUCUGGCCUAUUGCUGACACUGAGGUGCGAAAGUUAGGGGAGCAAACGGGAUUAGAUACCCCGGUAGUCCUAACCGUAAACGAUGGGCACUAAGUAGA